UGUAGGAGUGAGCCUGCUCGCGAUAGCGCUGUGUCAGUCGACAUGGGUGUAUCUGAUACACCGCUAUCGCGAGCAGGCUCGCUCCCACA
RNAcentral lists this unclassified non-coding RNA (89 nucleotides) under Pseudomonas moraviensis. The record is from RNAcentral. Lineage: Bacteria; Pseudomonadati; Pseudomonadota; Gammaproteobacteria; Pseudomonadales; Pseudomonadaceae.